Molecule: long non-coding RNA, 1536 nt
Filed under: Gadus morhua (Atlantic cod)
Lineage: Eukaryota; Metazoa; Chordata; Actinopteri; Gadiformes; Gadidae
Description: lncRNA (ENSGMOG00000036119.1)
Source: RNAcentral
GUGAGCGUCUGUGAGCGUGGAAGUAAAUCAACUAAAGUGAUCGGGCCAGGUGUGAGCGGGUUGGCCAGGUAACGGUAGCCCGCUGUUCCCGUCUCUGUACCCUGAUGCGGAUUAAUGAAACACGCCUUAGGAGACGCGAAGAUGAACCGCGCGGCCUGUCGUGUUGUGUUGUGAAGAUUUAAUUAAAACGGAGUUCCAGAGACUAAAUGUGACUUCCGAGAUCAACCUCGAACCUAAUGAACCCCAUCCUGUCGUUCACACGCCGUGGCGUACGGAAAACCCGCGAGGACCUCAGAGAUGAACUUCUGCUUGAAGAACGAAGGCCUACACACGGUUCUGGAGUCUGAGGGACUAUUGGAGGAGGAGGAGAGGAGAUCGAGGAGGAGGAGAGCAGAGGACCUCCAGCCAUCGAGGCCAUCAGGACCGGGAACGCUGGGUCCAGGAACAGGGAGCGCUGAUGAACGCAGUGUACAACGACCGCGUGGUUGAGGCCGUUAUGGGAGGAGAGGACAACAUGACGACAGCCAAUGACGAUAAGAGGGCUUUAGAGUGUCAUCAGCAACACCAGGCACGCAUGACCGCACACACGCAGGUACGCACAAACACACAGAAUUAAAACUUGCGCACACACAACUUGCACUUAAACAUGUGUACGAACACACAUACACACAAACACGCGCACACAUACACACGCCCCUUGCUGGACGCGUUCUCCAGAUGAUGAAUGAUACAUAGAGGAGUGUGUCUGUAUGCUGCUGCGGCGGCUGUUGUUUUCACUGUGAUUAGCAUAGAUUAGUGCAAAGCUGAACUUCAAAUUAAAAGUCAAUUUCCUGUGUUUGCGUUGCUGCAUAAUGUAUUGUGAGGGCGGGGAGAGACAUCAAACCGAGCUCAAACAGCAGAAAAUACGAACAUCCUGAGGGAGAAUAUUGUAAAAGCCUUUAUUUUUUUUUACAUUUCAAAGCAGAGAUCAUCUUUUUGAUAUAAAGCUGGCGUCCACAUAGUAGGAAUGAAGAUCUGGAAAAAGAUAAACUAUAUAUACAUACGUUAUAUGUUUAUACAUAUGAUUAUAUAUAUUUGUUUAUAUAUAUAAGUUUAUAAAUAUUUAUCUAUAUGUUCAUAUAUAUACAUAUAUAUAUAUAUGCAUAGAAAUAUGUUUACGUUUAUAUAUUAUCGUGUAUAUAUAUGUGUUUAUAUAUGCGUUUAUAUAUUAGUUUAAGGAUCAGAUCUCCAGACAAAGCUAGAACAUGUGGACUUUGCUCACAAAUGCUAAACAGACCUCCGAUCAGAUACAACCAGAGUCUGGACCGGACCGGACCGGACCAGUAGACAGACUGGACCCUCAUAGUCCUGAACAGACCAGCAGGCGGACUCUGGUCCGUCUCCCACUCAGAGACCGCGUAGAGGACAGUACUUCCUGUUAGUGAACCAGGCUACAGCCCAGAGAGAAGACCGGUCUGGACCAGACCGGUCCAGGUCUGGACCGGUGUGGUCCAGACCUGGACCGGUCUGGUCCGCUGGUCUAGACCAGACCGGUCC